CAACAGUGCUACAGUCUUCUCGCAGUACAGUUUAUUUCCCUAAAAUCACUGUAUAACUUGAAAACUGCACUCAAAUCCAUGGUUACAAUACUGUUUUCACGUCACGUGUUACGUGUGUGAAUUAAGUAUAAAUAAUAUGGAUCACCUAAAAAGAACAACAUAAUAAUACAUUAUAGCAGUGUUGACCGUUAAGGACUAAAUCUUAUGACUGCGGUAUGUAUUUGGGCAUCGAUAUUAAAAUAUUACGGCACAGAACACCGGUCGUGGCAAAUAAGUGUAAUACCCAAAAUGGCCACUAGUUGGGCGGGUUUGGCCGGGGCCUCCUCUCUGGUGGGUCUGAGGUUCGAGUCCUGCUUGGGGUGCCUUGCGAUGCACUGGCGUCCCGUCCUGGGUGUGUCCCCACCCCCUCCAGCCUUGUGCCCUGUGUCGCCGCGACCCCGCUUGCGACCAGCGAUUUCAGACGGCCACUCCUCACCUCCCCCAGUCUCCCACUCACUGAAGGACAGAGUCCAGCGGGAAGCGGCUCCUCGCCCCCUCAUGUCAGCACUCCUUCCUGCCCUUGAGACACCUCCCAUAUAAGGCAAUGGUGUGAUGGGCCUACUAUUGGAGUGUUUUGGGUUGCAGGAAACUUCCCUGCUGGUGUCCUCUGUUCCUACUGAGGUGAGAACCACCAUACCCCACUAACCAGUCCCAAGCGCCGCAGUGUGGCCACCCGGGGUCCAGAGAAAACCCCCUUGGACAAAACCCCCUCCUUUGAAGCACAAAGUAGGACAAAACCUUCUUCAUUAAAUGAAAAAUUACAAAAGCC
This 808-nucleotide long non-coding RNA is filed under the name Scleropages formosus (Asian bonytongue). RNAcentral describes it as "lncRNA (ENSSFOG00015029782.1)". Lineage: Eukaryota; Metazoa; Chordata; Actinopteri; Osteoglossiformes; Osteoglossidae. The record is from RNAcentral.